GACGAACGCUGGCGGCGUGCUUAACACAUGCAAGUCGAACGGAAAGGCCCUGCUUGCAGGGUCCUCGCGUGGCGAACGGGUGAGUAACACGUGGGUGAUCUGCCCUGCACUUCGGGAUAAGCCUGGGAAACUGGGACUAAUACCGGAUAGGUGCCAUUACUAGAGAGAUGGAUGGAGAGGCUUUUCGGUGUAGGAUGAGCUCGCGGCCUGUCAGCUUGUUGGUGGGGUAAUGGCCUACCAAGGCGGCGACGGGCAGCCGGCCCGAGAGGGUGGACGGCCACAUUGGGACUGAGAUACGGCACAGCCUCCUACGCGAGGCAGCGGUGGGGAAUAUGGCACAAUGGGCGCAAGCCUGCUGCAGCGACGCCGCGUGGGGGAUGACGGCCUUCGGGUUGUAAACUCCUUUCGCUAGAGACGAAGCUUUUUGUGACGGUACCUAGAUAAGAAGCACCGGCUAACUACGU
This 464-nucleotide ribosomal RNA is filed under the name uncultured bacterium. RNAcentral describes it as "partial 16S ribosomal RNA". It matches the Rfam family "Bacterial small subunit ribosomal RNA", at positions 28 to 506 of the family's 1533-position model. The record is from RNAcentral.